CAAAGGGUAGUUUAAUAAAAGAUAUUAAUUUUGGAAAUUAAUGAUAAGAAUUUCUUUCCUUUGA
This 64-nucleotide transfer RNA is filed under the name Stagmatoptera biocellata. RNAcentral describes it as "tRNA-Pro". Lineage: Eukaryota; Metazoa; Arthropoda; Insecta; Mantodea; Mantidae. The record is from RNAcentral.